This 492-nucleotide ribosomal RNA is filed under the name uncultured bacterium. RNAcentral's name for it is "partial 16S ribosomal RNA". It matches the Rfam family "Bacterial small subunit ribosomal RNA", at positions 29 to 507 of the family's 1533-position model. The record is from RNAcentral.
AGUGAACGCUGGCGGUAGGCCUAACACAUGCAAGUCGAACGGCAGCACAGUAAGAGCUUGCUCUUACGGGUGGCGAGUGGCGGACGGGUGAGGAAAACAACCGAAUCUACUCUUUCGGGGGGGUUCACGAAGGGAAAGCUACGCCAGUACAGCAUACGCCCUUGGGUUGAAAGCAGGGGAUCUUCGGACCUUGUGGGGUUGGAUGAGCCGCUGUCGUAUUUGCUAGUUGGGUGGGUAAAGGCCCACCAAGUCGCCGAUCCGUAGCUGGACUGAGAGGACGGUCGGCCACACUGGAACUGAGACACGGUCCAGACUACUACGGGAGGCAGCAGUGUGGAAUAUUGGACAAUGGGCGCGAGCCUGAUCCAGCCAUACCGCGUGUGUUGAGAAGGCCUUCGGGUUGUGAAGCCCUUUUGUUGGGAAAGAAAAGCAGCAGGUUGAUACGCCGCUGUUCUGACGGUACUCAAAGAAUAAGCACCGGCUAACUUCGUG